UUGUCAUAUGUUUGUCUCAAAGAUUAAGCCAUGCAAGUAUGCUAAACCUUGUUAACAAGAAGGCUGCGAACGGCUCAUUAAAACAGUCGUGAUCUACCGCGUGAAGUUGGAAUUUUCGGGAUACCUACGGGAAACUGUGGUCAAGCCCCUAGGCUCAACGUUUGAGUUGAGAAGCUUAUACAGUUUUGAACACUAUAGCCAUAGAAGGAACAUGUCACCAUAAGGGACACGCGAUGAACGUCUGACCCAUCAUAAUAGUUGGGAGGGUAGUGUCCUCUCAAGUUUACGACGGGUAACGGGGAAUUAGGGUUCGAUUCCGGAGAGGGAGCUUGAGAAACGGCUACCACUUCCAAGGAAGGCAGCAGGCGCGCAAAUUACCCAAUGGACUUGUGGUCCGAGGUAGUGACGAGAAAUAUCGGUCUGUCGACCUUAGUCGAUAGUACUGGAAUGAGCUUGGUCUAAAUCCCCAAGCGAGGAACUAUUGGAGGGCAAGUCUGGUGCCAGCAGCCGCGGUAACUCCAGCUCCAAUAACAUAUACAAGUUGUGUUGCAGUUAAAACGCUCGUAGUCGACCCUUGAUAAAAAUCUUGGAUUCUGUGAAGAAAUCUGCUUGUUGAAGCAAGUUUUCAAAGUCAAAAGCAUGGAACAUUCCAACCUUCAGUGCAUCGUUCUUACUGGUUUGUCGGGUAGAACUUGCGUAGGUAUGAAUUUGGUGA
Molecule: ribosomal RNA, 715 nt
Filed under: uncultured eukaryote
Lineage: Eukaryota
Description: bacterial SSU rRNA
Rfam family: Eukaryotic small subunit ribosomal RNA
Source: RNAcentral